This 397-nucleotide long non-coding RNA is filed under the name Carica papaya (papaya). RNAcentral's name for it is "long non-coding RNA (CPAP_LNC009748)". Lineage: Eukaryota; Viridiplantae; Streptophyta; Magnoliopsida; Brassicales; Caricaceae. The record is from RNAcentral.
CUGGCUUCCCACUCCGCUCUUGCUCAGGCUCCCGGAGCAGCACCGAACCAAUCUCCGCCAGCAGCUACUCCAGCUCCGGCCCCAAAGGCUGCGGCUCCAACUCCCUCAGUCAUGGCUCCACCACCAGCCACCACUCCAACUACUCCACCAACCGUAGCUCCAACCGUACCUCCAGCAAGUGCACCAACUUCUCCCACCAUCUCUCCUCCUGCUCCUCCCACCUCUCCCGCUUCAGCUCCAUCCACACCGGUCCCUCCCACACCAUCCAUUUCCAACCCUCCCGGUGAGGCUCCUGCCGUCACUCCCGGCAAUGGAGCUGCCUUGAACAGAAUCUCCGCCGCCGGAUCUUUCGCAGGAGCUGUCUUCGCCGCGGCCUUGUUGCUGUAGAUCUGACACG